GGUGGCUCAGUGGUAGAGUGUUUGCCUCGCAUGCAUGAGGUCUUAGGUUCAAUUCCUCAGCACCA
This 65-nucleotide transfer RNA is filed under the name Dipodomys ordii (Ord's kangaroo rat). It matches the Rfam family "tRNA". From Rfam's summary of the family: Transfer RNA (tRNA) molecules are approximately 80 nucleotides in length. Lineage: Eukaryota; Metazoa; Chordata; Mammalia; Rodentia; Heteromyidae. The record is from Rfam by way of RNAcentral.